GGGGAUGUUCAGGAUUCGACAGGUAUAGGUUGAGCUUGGAUUGCGUUUCGAAGUUUGCGUCUUCGUUAAAACGCUCAGUUAAAUUAUAACUGCAAAAAAUAAUAGUAAUACUUACGCUUUAGCUGCUUAAUAGCGCUUUAACGUAGAUCCUCCUAGUAUCGUCCAUGUGCUAGAUCUGGGUCCUAAAUUAAGUGGACUUACGUUGACUUCUUCCACCUGGAGAAGUUAAAAGAGACUAAUCAGGUUAGUCAGACGUGUUAGCCCUGUUAUACGGCGCUACGGCUGGUGAAAUUUAAAUAGUAUAACUAUGAACGUAGAUGUUUGAGUGGCAAUAUGCUUGGACGCGGGUUCGACUCCCGCCAUCUCCAUUU
Molecule: non-coding RNA, 371 nt
Rfam family: transfer-messenger RNA
About the family: Bacterial tmRNA, also known as 10Sa RNA or SsrA, is named for its dual tRNA and mRNA-like properties. Its role is to liberate the mRNA from a stalled ribosome. To accomplish this part of the tmRNA is used as a reading frame that ends in a translation stop signal.
Source: Rfam